CUAUUACGUAAUGUAAAAACGGUGUAUUUUCUGGAAAUGCGUCUAUUUAUGUUAGUUUAAACGAUUCACUGACGUUUUAAUGUUGAUGUUGGAUUUGUACGUAAAAUUUUUGAGUUGUGCAGUCCACCAUGCACUCUUGACGUUGAAUACUAUUAUCCCUGGGAUUUUGCACAGCAGGUGCAUUAUCUACCAAUUUAUUUCCGUACCCUAAUGAAGCGCCAUGUGUUUGGUGUAUGUGCAGAAGGAUCAGAUACAUUUCAAUAAUGCGGCUGGACAGAAUUAAAACAACUAUGUCAUUUGGUAUGCAGUUAUGGAGCACUUUAAAGGGCCUACAUGAGACUGUUGCAAUGAGUAUGUUGGUGACAGGGCACAGGAAAUUUGACCCAGAUUAGCACUUCGGUGUAUGGAAAGUGAAGUGAAGAGAUUCUGAUGCAUAAACUAUGACCCAAAUGGCUGACACUGUGAGACAGUCAUCAAAAGGGGGUCACAAUGUUCCACAAGUAGUUGAUAAUCCUGAAACACCUGUUGUUUUUUUUACAGCUGGAAGCAAUUUCUUUAACAGUAUUUUAAACCUGUUUAAACAGUUGUCUAAAUACCAACAUUUCUUUGUCAGUUCAGUUUAACCGGGUGUUUUAUGUUGCAAAGAAUAUUUUGAUUCUGAAGAAGUUAAAGUAACUAUAUUGAAGCAAGUGCCCGAUAAAAAUGCUAUGCUUGUAGUAAAAGCUUUUCCAGGUCUGAAUGUGGCACGUCAGAGGUAUUUGUCUUAAAAUUUUUGAGAUUGCUUCUUAACGCACUGUUUUGAUUUUCUAUCUAUAUAAUUUAGUUUUUGUUUCAAGUUCGUUUAUUUUGCAAAUGUCGAGCAUAUAAUGAUAUACUAAUAAUGCUAUGGAAGUGGUGAAAAAUUUUAUAGUUGCUAGGCAACAGAAUAUAGGUUGUAAUUUUUUGUGGAUAUUGUUUUGCUUUAAUUCUUGUUAGAUUCUGAACACUCAGUUAUAUGAAAAUACUAUGUUCUUGAGGGUUUUUUAAAACGAUGAUUAAACCAUUAUAACUGUGAUUCGAAGUUGCUGUGAAAUUCCGUUUGCAAAUGAAAUUUUACGCAAUGCUUUUUUUUUUUUUUGUUAAAGAACUUAUUUUGUCUCAAAAUACCUUCUUAUUUUAGAUAGAAAUCUUCAAGUGUGUUUCCUGAAACAUUGUUUAGAUUUUGGAUGAAGAUUAUUUCAUAUCACAAAACAUUUUAUCAGCAUGCAUGGGUAGUUAGUUAUAUAACAACAAGAACAGAUGAAAUAUUCUCUGGUUGCUAGGCAACAGGAAGAAUCAUUAAAGUUAUAGAUAUUUUUUAAUGAAUGUUCUUUGGUUGAUAGUACUUUGCUUCAAUGCCUAUUUUACAACCAAAUUUUUAACAGCACACCUUCAUUUUAAAUUAAUGUCAAUAUGCUAGCAAUAUUCUGUAGGGAAUUGAAAUUGAAGUAAAAUUUUGAACAUGGACCUUCCUAUCAGAUGUCUGUAUAUCUUCAAAAGUUUUCAAUAGAUUGACGUCAAUUUUUCAAGACUGUCUGAUUAUAUUUUUUUUUUUUACUUUUUCAUUUGAUCUUAAAUUAAUGCAAAUUUUUAAGUCAAAUUAUAAGUCUAAAAACCUAAAAAAAAUAUGGAAAUUGUGAAAAAGUCCAUUGUUGCUAAGCAACAGAAAUAUUGAAGUCGCUGUUUUGUAACUAUAUUUGUGCUUUAUUGUCAUAGAUUUAUUUCAUAUAGCCAUAUUUGCAAAGAAAGCACCUUGUUAAGGGCUUGUAAAACACUGAAGAUUAAUCUUACUAGGUGCAGUAAAUUUUGUAAAAAUAGCCUGUAUGCAGAUGUAAUAUUUUGCACAUAGCCUGUGUAUUAAAAUACUUUUUCUUCAAAACCACUUUAUAUAUUGCCCAGAAAAUUUCAUGACUGUUUAGAUAGAGAAUGUUAUUACUCAUCUUGAAAUUAAUUUCAUUUGUGACAUAAGUGCACUUAAAUUAUUGUCAUGUAUAGCUUUAAUAGUAAGAAAAAUGAAAUAUUUUCUGGUUGCUAGGCAACAGAAAUGAAAAUAUUUGUUAACUGCACUCCGCUUUUUGUCUCAAAAUGUUGUUUUGACAUUAAAUAAAGAAAUUGAACACAUUAAUUUGCUUCUUUAUUUUAUUUUCUAUUUACAAAACUGUAUUUAAUAUACUUACCUGAAGGCAAGAAAAAUACCUCCAAAUCAGUGCAGAUUUGAACAUAUCUAAAAAUGGUCGUCAACAUAAAAUUAAA
Mercenaria mercenaria is the source of this 2271-nucleotide long non-coding RNA. RefSeq lists it as uncharacterized. NCBI's taxonomy places the organism in Eukaryota, Metazoa, Mollusca, Bivalvia, Venerida, Veneridae. The transcript is spliced from 4 exons. The record is from RefSeq and is a predicted model, not a curated record.